AGUGAACGCUGGCGGUAGGCCUAACACAUGCAAGUCGAAGGGCAGCACAGGAGAGCUUGCUCUCUGGGUGGCGAGUGGCGGACGGGUGAGGAAUACAUCGGAAUCUACUCUGUCGUGGGGGAUAACGUAGGGAAACUUACGCUAAUACCGCAUACGACCUACGGGUGAAAGCAGGGGACCUUCGGGCCUUGCGCGAUUGAAUGAGCCGAUGUCGGAUUAGCUAGUUGGCGGGGUAAAGGCCCACCAAGGCGACGAUCCGUAGCUGGUCUGGGAGGAUGAUCAGCCACACUGGACCUGAGACACGGUCCAGACUCCUACGGGAGGCAGCAGUGGUGAAUAUUGGACAAUGGGCGCAAGCCUGAUCCAGCCAUACCGCGUGGGUGAAGAAGGCCUUCGGGUUGUAAAGCCCUUUUGUUGGGAAAGAAAUCCAGCUGGCUAAUACCCGGUUGGGAUGACGGUACCCGAAGAAUAAGCACCGGCUAACUUCGUGCCAGCCGCCGCAGUAA
Molecule: ribosomal RNA, 506 nt
Filed under: uncultured bacterium
Lineage: Bacteria
Description: partial 16S ribosomal RNA
Rfam family: Bacterial small subunit ribosomal RNA
Source: RNAcentral